GUCCCUGUAGCGCAUGGAUAGCGUGUUGGAAUUCUAAUUCAAAGGUCGUGGGUUCGAAUCCUACCUGGGAUG
RNAcentral lists this transfer RNA (72 nucleotides) under Trichonephila inaurata madagascariensis. It matches the Rfam family "tRNA". From Rfam's summary of the family: Transfer RNA (tRNA) molecules are approximately 80 nucleotides in length. Their secondary structure includes four short double-helical elements and three loops (D, anti-codon, and T loops). The record is from Rfam by way of RNAcentral. Lineage: Eukaryota; Metazoa; Arthropoda; Arachnida; Araneae; Nephilidae.